RNAcentral lists this long non-coding RNA (444 nucleotides) under Capsella rubella. RNAcentral's name for it is "long non-coding RNA (CRUB_LNC001936)". Lineage: Eukaryota; Viridiplantae; Streptophyta; Magnoliopsida; Brassicales; Brassicaceae. The record is from RNAcentral.
UGAAAUUGGACGUGUCACAAAACAAACCUAAAAUAAAAUUUAAGUAGACGACAAAAAAAAAAUUAAAAAAUUUAAGUAUAUAUGGCCAUGUGUAUGUGUUCUAUGGACUAUGGAGUGUGGGUGGACUUUAGUUUAGUCCCAUUUAUGGGGAUCGGUACAAAUAAGAUGUAGAGCAUGGGAUACAACAAGUGAACGUUCCGGUUUUUGUUAUGGUUCGCCAUAAUAUAGUUUCAAUAUAUUCAUUUCUACGUUUAGAUUCUCACAUAUAACCCUUUUUUGCUUCUAUUCAUACAAAUAACUAAACUUCCAUACACAUUUAAAAAAAAAAAAAAAAAAAAAAUCUGAAAAGAAAAUAUAACCCAUCAAAUUCUGUUGCAAACUAGUUUAGCCUUUCUAGUCUAAAUGUGACUAGUUUGAACUUAUACAUUUUUAUUGAACUUCCUG